This 1017-nucleotide ribosomal RNA is filed under the name Citrobacter freundii. Its description in RNAcentral is "partial 23S ribosomal RNA". It matches the Rfam family "Bacterial large subunit ribosomal RNA", at positions 1783 to 2797 of the family's 2925-position model. Lineage: Bacteria; Pseudomonadati; Pseudomonadota; Gammaproteobacteria; Enterobacterales; Enterobacteriaceae. The record is from RNAcentral.
AUACCAGCUGGCUGCAACUGUUUAUUAAAAACACAGCACUGUGCAAACACGAAAGUGGACGUAUACGGUGUGACGCCUGCCCGGUGCCGGAAGGUUAAUUGAUGGGGUUAUCCGUAAGGAGAAGCUCUUGAUCGAAGCCCCGGUAAACGGCGGCCGUAACUAUAACGGUCCUAAGGUAGCGAAAUUCCUUGUCGGGUAAGUUCCGACCUGCACGAAUGGCGUAAUGAUGGCCAGGCUGUCUCCACCCGAGACUCAGUGAAAUUGAACUCGCUGUGAAGAUGCAGUGUACCCGCGGCAAGACGGAAAGACCCCGUGAACCUUUACUAUAGCUUGACACUGAACACUGGUCCUUGAUGUGUAGGAUAGGUGGGAGGCUUUGAAGUGUGGACGCCAGUCUGCAUGGAGCCAUCCUUGAAAUACCACCCUUUAAUGGCUGGUGUUCUAACGUGGACCCGUUACCCGGGUUGCGGACAGUGUCUGGUGGGUAGUUUGACUGGGGCGGUCUCCUCCUAAAGAGUAACGGAGGAGCACGAAGGUUAGCUAAUCCUGGUCGGACAUCAGGAGGUUAGUGCAAAGGCAUAAGCUAGCUUGACUGCGAGAGUGACGGCUCGAGCAGGUGCGAAAGCAGGUCUUAGUGAUCCGGUGGUUCUGAAUGGAAGGGCCAUCGCUCAACGGAUAAAAGGUACUCCGGGGAUAACAGGCUGAUACCGCCCAAGAGUUCAUAUCGACGGCGGUGUUUGGCACCUCGAUGUCGGCUCAUCACAUCCUGGGGCUGAAGUAGGUCCCAAGGGUAUGGCUGUUCGCCAUUUAAAGUGGUACGCGAGCUGGGUUUAGAACGUCGUGAGACAGUUCGGUCCCUAUCUGCCGUGGGCGCUGGAGAAUUGAGGGGGGCUGCUCCUAGUACGAGAGGACCGGAGUGGACGCAUCACUGGUGUUCGGGUUGUCAUGCCAAUGGCAUUGCCCGGUAGCUAAAUGCGGAAGAGAUAAGUGCUGAAAGCAUCUAAGCACGAAACUUGC